RNAcentral lists this small RNA (126 nucleotides) under Marmota monax (woodchuck). Lineage: Eukaryota; Metazoa; Chordata; Mammalia; Rodentia; Sciuridae. The record is from RNAcentral.
GCCGGGCGCAGUGGCCCAUGCCUGUAAUCCCAGCUGGGGGGAGGCUGAGGCAGGAGGAUCUCAAGUUCAAAGCCAACCUCAGCAAUUCAGCAAGACACUCAGCAACUCAAUGAGACCCUGUCUCUA